Molecule: non-coding RNA, 45 nt
Filed under: Echinostoma caproni
Lineage: Eukaryota; Metazoa; Platyhelminthes; Trematoda; Plagiorchiida; Echinostomatidae
Source: RNAcentral
GCACUGCUGACGAGUCCCAAACUUGACGAAACAGCUGUCCAGUGC